This 93-nucleotide signal recognition particle RNA is filed under the name Alphaproteobacteria bacterium. RNAcentral describes it as "signal recognition particle sRNA small type". It matches the Rfam family "Bacterial small signal recognition particle RNA". From Rfam's summary of the family: The signal recognition particle (SRP) is a universally conserved ribonucleoprotein involved in the co-translational targeting of proteins to membranes. Archaeal SRP consists of a 7S RNA and homologues of the eukaryotic SRP19 and SRP54 proteins. In most bacteria, the SRP consists of a 4.5S RNA and the Ffh protein (a homologue of the eukaryotic SRP54 protein). Lineage: Bacteria; Pseudomonadati; Pseudomonadota; Alphaproteobacteria. The record is from RNAcentral.
CGAGAAUUACAUGGGCAGCUUUUGAUGCUAAUCCGGUCAGGUUCGAAAGAAAGCAGCCGUAACAUGAAAUACUGGGUCGUGUAAUUCUCCUUA